GGGCAUGGCCGGGGGUAUCUGACCGGCCCAGUCCUGGAAGAGCACCCCAGGCCAUGCCAGUGGCCCUUAAGAUGGUGACUCACUCAUAAAGUAUUCUUCUGUUAGAAACAAAACAAGAUUUGUACACCCAUAUACACAACAGCAUCCACACCCAGGUCCACGACAGCAUCACCCACACCCCCAUCCAUGGCAGCAUCAGCCACACCCCUGUCCACAGGAACAUCAUCCACAACCCUAUCCACUGCAGCAUCACCCACACCCGCGUCCAUGGCAGCACCCACACCCCAGUCCAUGGCAGCAUCUACACCCCCAUCCACGGCAGCAUCAUCCACACCCGUCCAUGGCAGCAUCAUCCACACCCAGGUCCAUGGCAGCAUCCACACCCAGGUCCACGGCAGCAUCACCCACAUCCAUCCAUGGCAGCAUCAUCCACACCCCUGUCCACAGCAGCAUCCACACCCACAGCAGCAUCAUCCACACCCAGGUCCACGGCAGCAUCACCCACAUCCAUCCAUGGCAGCAUCAUCCACACCCCUGUCCACAGCAUCCACACCCAGGUCUACGGCAGCAUCACCCACACCCGCCCCCGUCCACGGCAGCAUCACCCACACCCCACCAUCCACGGCAGCAUCACCCACAACCCCAUCCACGGCAGCAUCAGCCACACCCCUGUCCACGGGAACAUCACAACCCUAUCCACUACAGCAUCAUCCACACCUGCGUCCAUGGCAGCAUCCACACCCCAGUCCAUGGCAGCAUCUACACCCCUAUUCAUGGCAGCAUCAUCCACACCCCAGUCCACGGCAGCACCAUCCACAACCCCUGUCCACAGCAGCAUCAUCCACACCCGUCCACAGCACCAUCCACACCCCGUCCACGGCAGCAUCCACACCCAGGUCCACGGCAGCAUCCACACCCAGGUCCACGGAAACAUCCACACGCCUGUCCACGGCAGCAUCCACACCCCCGUCCACAGCAACAUCAUCCACAACAGCCAGGGGGAGAGGGGCCUGAGCAUCCGACAGAGGAGGAUAAAUACAGGCAGUCCAUGCAGAUCCCUGCCCAUCAUUCAGCCUUAAAAAGGAAGGCAGCUCAGACACAUGCUCCAGAAGGCACGGCACUCAAGGACGCCACGUAGAGUGCAAUGAGCCAUCACAAACACUACCUCCACAGGGAGCACUCAAGGACACCAAGUGGAGUAAAAUGAGCCAUCACAAAACACUGUGCAACUCCACUUACAUGAGGCCCCUACAGGGGCCAAAAUCCUAGAGACGGAAAGUGGAGGCCAGGCGCGGUGGCUCACGCCUAUAAUCCCAACACUUUGGGAGGCCAAGAACGGCAGAUCAUGAGGUCAGGAGUUCAAGACCAGCCUGGCCAACAUG
Molecule: long non-coding RNA, 1382 nt
Filed under: Pongo abelii (Sumatran orangutan)
Lineage: Eukaryota; Metazoa; Chordata; Mammalia; Primates; Hominidae
Description: lncRNA (ENSPPYG00000036184.1)
Source: RNAcentral